GGGUCAUCAGGGAACAGUGUAGCACCUGGGGGUGAGUGCCAGGUGGGCAGCUACUGCCAGCCCUGGUCCUGGAGGGGCUUGGGGAGGGCAUGGUGUUCUCAGCGCCCAGUGCACUGCAGCCGUGGGAGGAGUGGUGCCCACUGGGAGCUGUGGCUGCUGACUGAGGAAGGCAGGUCUAACCCAAACCACCUGGCAAGGCAAACAGAUGCAAUGAAACUUUUCUGAUAACUUUGUUUUCUAUUUACUGCCUGGAGCAUAGUAGCAGAACAGGGGGUUACACUUGAGAUAUUGGAGAAACCAUGCCAUCUGAAUAGCUGUUUCUGCACCAGGUUGACUGUCGGCAUUGAGAGCCAUAAAGAGAAACAAGGUGUAAAUGCACAGAAGAGAGAAGUUAAUGACCACUUAUCUUGUACCAUCUUGGGAGGAGUGACUUCUGGUGCUAAGUAUCAGGAAACAUCCGGGGGAAUGAUUUCCAGGGGAGAAGUCCUAGAAGAGGGCUCCUGCUGGCUUGGAAGAAAGCAAACAUCCAUGCUGUGAAUGGACUAUGGAGACCACAGGGCAAAGAAUACCAGCGACCUCUGGGAGCCAGGCACGAUCUCCAGAUGACAGCUAGCAGCAAACAGGAAACAUAUUCCUACUAGUUGACCAGAAACUGGAUUUUGCCAACAAUCCGGUUGAGCUUCAAAGGGGACCCAGGAUGAGAACUCAGAAUGGCUGGAGGCCUGACUGCAGCCUUGUGAGACCC
Long non-coding RNA from Bos taurus (domestic cattle), 745 nucleotides. Lineage: Eukaryota; Metazoa; Chordata; Mammalia; Artiodactyla; Bovidae. The record is from Ensembl.